This 240-nucleotide unclassified non-coding RNA is filed under the name Hevea brasiliensis (rubber tree). Lineage: Eukaryota; Viridiplantae; Streptophyta; Magnoliopsida; Malpighiales; Euphorbiaceae. The record is from RNAcentral.
GUUGAUUGGCACCUUGAUUCGCACGCCGAACAGUGAGUGUCUUAUCACCCAUUUUAAUACCGUUGAGUGCUGCACAGGCUAUGUCUGUGACUGAAAGAUCUUGGUAAACACAAAAUGCGUAGCCUUUGGAAUUUCCAGUCUCUCUAUCUUUCACGAGAUCAAAACCUCGUAGGGGCCCAAAAGACUCCAGCAACUCCCUAACCUGAGCUUCUGUGAAGUAAUAGGGAAGUCCACCCACAA